This 534-nucleotide ribosomal RNA is filed under the name uncultured bacterium. RNAcentral describes it as "partial 16S ribosomal RNA". It matches the Rfam family "Bacterial small subunit ribosomal RNA", at positions 355 to 881 of the family's 1533-position model. The record is from RNAcentral.
UGGGGAAUUUUGGACAAUGGGCGCAAGCCUGAUCCAGCCAUGCCGCGUGCGGGAAGAAGGCCUUCGGGUUGUAAACCGCUUUUGUCAGGGAAGAAAUCUUCUGAGUUAAUACCUCGGGAGGAUGACGGUACCUGAAGAAUAAGCACCGGCUAACUACGUGCCAGCAGCCGCGGUAAUACGUAGGGUGCAAGCGUUAAUCGGAAUUACUGGGCGUAAAGCGUGCGCAGGCGGUUUUGUAAGACAGAGGUGAAAUCCCCGGGCUCAACCUGGGAACUGCCUUUGUGACUGCAAGGCUUGAGUGCGGCAGAGGGGGAUGGAAUUCCGCGUGUAGCAGUGAAAUGCGUAGAUAUGCGGAGGAACACCGAUGGCGAAGGCAAUCCCCUGGGCCUGCACUGACGCUCAUGCACGAAAGCGUGGGGAGCAAACAGGAUUAGAUACCCUGGUAGUCCACGCCCUAAACGAUGUCAACUGGUUGUUGGGAAGGUCCCUUCCCAGUAACGUAGCUAACGCGUGAAGUUGACCGCCUGGGGGAGU